GCAGCGGGCCGGGGACGAUACAAAGCAUCGUCAGCCCGUCCAGGGCGGGGAUUAUCCCACCCUAGUCUGUGUGGCCUCACUGUGACUGCUGUGUCCAUUGUUGGGCUCCACAACAUAUAAAGAGGCAUUUAGCUGUUAGAGAGCAUCCAAAGGAGCGGCUUUCAGAUGAGGGUGGUGAAGAGCCUUGAGGACAAGUCGUGUGAGGAGGAGCUGAGCAGGUGCAACUGAUUCUGGCAGAGCUGUCUAUCAGCAACAAUAAACUGACCUGUGACCAAGUACCUCCCAGUAUCCUAUUUUGCACCUCAAAGGAGAAACUUGGCUUUUAUUAAUCUAAGGAGGAAAAGCAAGGAGCCUCACCCUCAUACCUCCCUGGACACACAGGGUAAAGAGCAGGCCUCCAGCUCACCCCUGGAGAGGCCCACGUGAGCUGUGCAGGAAAUGAGCUCAUCUGACUGGUGAUUCCCAGAUCUGGGAGAGCAUCACCUGCUGCCAGGAGACUCCCUGCUAGCACCCAGGUGUGGAAGAAUUUGGCUCUUUACUUGAUCUGACAGAUACAUGUGAAUUGCUGAGGCCAGCUGCCAGGGCACCCAUCUAUAGAGAACCCCUAGAGAUUAAAAGAAUUCUUGUUUAAACCCUAACAGAUUAUUUCAAUUAACUCAGGCCUCUCAAGUUGUCUUCUUGACUGAAGUUCUUUGCAUUGUGAUGCUGAUAGUAAUUUUACUAUUUAUAACAAAACAAUUAUUCUUUAUUUGUAAUUUGUUGAUAGGCUACAUGUUUGCUUUUAUCCCUUCUCUUUCACCAACUUUGCACUAAGGCCAGGCAAAGACUAGUUUGCAGAGGGUUCAGGUGAAUUACUGAAGACAGAGUCAUGUGCCUGUGGCUGGAUUCUGACGUGACUGGGGCAGGGAGGAACUGGCAGGACUGGUUGCUUACAAUGGGAGAUGAUAACUGGGUCAUGAGAGAACAUAAGCUUUGGGCUAUUUCAGGAGCAUAGAAGGAAUUCAUGAGGUGUGUGAUGUUACACCACACAUCACCUUACCUUUGAAAGAAUUAGUGGAAUUUUUUCAACUUGUCCUACUGUGGAACAGACUGGGGAAAGGGUAGUUAGAGCAGGAGGCUUAUGUCAUGAUAUGCUGCAGAUGAUUACAGCAUGGACAGCUUUCAAGACCAAAGAUCAGCUCAACUUCAUCAUGGCCUGUUCUUCCAUGUACAUAUUGUCAGUACAACCUGGCUUCAGGACAGGUGGUGUUGCACUCUGAUCAGCUUCAGCAGAGCUGCUCACCACCUCCUCUGCGACCCAUGGCACUACUGUUCCUGUGAGACUUAUACAUGUCAUUUGUGAUAUUUGUUUUGUAUAGUAGGGAGAAAAGUCUUGCAUGCCUCUGAAGCCUAGGGAUAGCUCAAGGAGACUCUGGAAUUGUCUCCUUCUGCUCCUCCAGAAAUUUGGCCCUGAACUGUAAUUUAUAUGGUAGGACUCCAGACUAAUGCAAGAGCCUCUCUCCCUUGAGGCCAGUAGCUGCUCUGAGCACAAAGGGGUGGCUCAGCACACCAGCAAACCUAAAUACACUUGAGCCUCAUUACAUUGUGCUGCUUAAAAUUAGAUGUGUGCCUAUGGCUUUAGGUUUGUCCUAUUCAG
Non-coding RNA from Cyanistes caeruleus (blue tit), 1636 nucleotides. Lineage: Eukaryota; Metazoa; Chordata; Aves; Passeriformes; Paridae. The record is from RefSeq and is a predicted model, not a curated record.